Molecule: ribosomal RNA, 401 nt
Filed under: uncultured bacterium
Lineage: Bacteria
Description: partial 16S ribosomal RNA
Rfam family: Bacterial small subunit ribosomal RNA
Source: RNAcentral
UGGGGAAUAUUGGACAAUGGGCGAAAGCCUGAUCCAGCCAUGCCGCAUGAGUGAAGAAGGCCUUUGGGUUGUAAAGCUCUUUUAGUGAGGAAGAUAAUGACGGUACUCACAGAAGAAGUCCUGCUAACUCCGUGCCAGCAGCCGCGGUAAUACGGAGAGGGCUAGCGUUAUUCGGAAUUAUUGGGCGUAAAGGGCGCGUAGGCUGGUUAAUAAGUUAAAAGUGAAAUCCCGAGGCUUAACCUUGGAAUUGCUUUUAAAACUAUUAAUCUAGAGAUUGAAAGAGGAUAGAGGAAUUCCUGAUGUAGAGGUAAAAUUCGUAAAUAUUAGGAGGAACACCAGUGGCGAAGGCGUCUAUCUGGUUCAAAUCUGACGCUGAAGCGCGAAGGCGUGGGGAGCAAACA